This 176-nucleotide long non-coding RNA is filed under the name Mustela putorius furo (domestic ferret). RNAcentral describes it as "lncRNA (ENSMPUG00000025658.1)". Lineage: Eukaryota; Metazoa; Chordata; Mammalia; Carnivora; Mustelidae. The record is from RNAcentral.
GGAAAAAGUUCCAGCCUGGGAAACUGUACCUCACCAAGCUUUCCCUCUUCCUCUUCUUUCAACAGGUAGAAGCCUGCCUUGCUUCACCUGGCCUGCCUGCUGCAGCAAGAAGCAGGUGGUCUUCUGCCUUGGCACAGUCCCUCCUGCCUGGAGGGGUCUCCCCAGCUAUUCCCAAG